AUGCCGCGCCGCCGCUCCCGCUCCCGCUCCCGCCGCCCCACCGCCGCCUCUCGGCUGGAGGCGCCCGAGGGCCGCCCGGCCUACGUCUGCGCGUCCAAGUCCCUCGACUACCCCGUCCCGGCGUCUGCGCUCCGCCACUGGGCUCCGGACCCCCCGGAGGUCAGCUCUGGCCGCCCGCGCCGCGGGUCCACGGUGUACGUGCAGAUGACACCCGAGAUGGACCUCGAGGCCAGGCGCAUCGGCUACGCGUUCAUCGCCCCCGACCCCGAGGCCGCUGGUCUCGAGGACGCGGACACGAAGGCCCUCGUCCGCUCCGCCAUCCACGCCACGGCGCCGGACCUGCAGUUCGAGCUCUUCGCCGUCUCCCCAAUGAUGGCCGACAUGUGCCUGCGCUUCGCCUUGCCGGAGGACCGCGUGGCGGCCAUGGCCAAACAGCCGUUCGAGCUCGACGGCUACUCCGUACAAAUCGGCCCUGACCCGAAGAGCUGCAUCCAGUCCCGGCUGGACUACCUCGUCCACAUCAACCUGCACAACUACCCCAAGGAGGAGCGCACGGAGAAAGACAUCCACUCCAACUGCUCAAGCAUCGGCCACGUGGUCGAGAUCGACCCCGCCUGCUUCACCGCGCCGGACCUCUCCCCGCUCGGGCUCGUCGUCCAGUUGAAGCACCCUCGCGAAAUCGCCCGCGAGCUCCGGAUCCAAUACGUUGGGUGGUAUGGCAGCGGCCAAGUCUGUCCCAGGGAAGUCGCUCGCACCAUCAUGCCAGUCGAGAUCGUCAAGGUCUGGGACCUGUCUCGGUCCAACGACGGCAACGGGGGAUACGUGUCUCCGUUCAAGCCCUCGCCGCAGGUCGUGCCGGACGGGCAGCCGGCGGCAGCAGAAGAACUGCGACCCGUCCCGGGCUCCCGGCUGGACUACCUCGUCCACAUCAACCUGCACAACUACCCGAGGGAGGGGUGGACGGAGAAAGACAUCAGCUCCAACUGCUCCAGCAUCGGGCUCGUCGUCGAGAUUGACCCCGCCUGCUUCGCCGCGCCUGAGCUCUCCAGGCUCCGCCUGGUCGUCCGGCUGGAGAACCCUUGCGACAUCCCCCACGAGCUCCGGAUCAAGUGCGGUGGUUGGAAUGGCAGCGGCGGCGUAUGUCCCAGGGAAGGCCCUCACAGCGUCGUACGCGUCGAGAUCGUGAAGGUCUGGGACGAGUCUCCGUCCAACGGCGGCAAUGGCGGAAGAUACGUGUCUCCCUUCAAGCCCUCGCCAGCGGGGGCGCUGUAG
RNAcentral lists this ribosomal RNA (1272 nucleotides) under Triticum aestivum (bread wheat). RNAcentral's name for it is "partial small subunit ribosomal RNA". Lineage: Eukaryota; Viridiplantae; Streptophyta; Magnoliopsida; Poales; Poaceae. The record is from RNAcentral.